AUCGAACCCGGAGAUAGCUGGUUCUCCUCGAAAUAGCUUUAGGGCUAGCCUCGAUUUAGUCUUAUGGAGGUAGAGCACUGAAUUUCCGCGGGGGCGUCAAAGCUUACCAAAGAAUAUCAAACUCCGAAUGCCAUGUAGAUGAUGAACGGGAGUCAGACUGCACGAGAUAAGUUGGGCAGUCAAAAGGGAAAGAGCCCAGACCGCCAGCCAAGGUCCCAAAGUGUGUGUUAAGUGGAAAAGGAUGUGGGAUCUCCAAGACAACUAGGAUGUUGGCUCAGAAGCAGCCACACAUUCAAAGAGUGCGUAACAGCUCACUAGUCGAGAGGUCCUGCGCCGAAAAUGUCCGGGGCUGAAACACAACACCGAAGCUGCGGAAUUGCGAAUGCAAUUGGUAGAGGAGCAUUCUUAAUGCCGACGAAGCUGUACCGGAAGGAGCAGUGGAGGGAUAAGAAGAGAGAAUGCCGGAAUGAGUAGCGAGAGAGAGGUGGGAAUCCUCUCGGCCGAAUAUCCAAGGUUUCCAGAGUAAAGCUGAUCUGCUCUGGGUAAGUCGGGGCCUAAGGCGAGGUCAAGAGACGUAGCCGAUGGACAACAGGUUUAGAUUCCUGUACCGCAUAUAAACAGAACUGUGGGGACGCAUGGGGAGAGCAUGGGCCGGGAAUGGAAAUACCGGUGCAAGCGAAGGAGGUGUGCAGCCGGCAAAUCCGCUGCAUGAGCCGAAAGCGUGACGCGGAGCGAAAUGAAAGUAGCGAAGCAUGUGAGCCCUGUGCCGAGAAAAGCCGCUAUAGCUUUAUAUGUGCCCGUACCGUAAACCGACACAGGUGGAUGAGGAGAGAAUCCUAAGGCCGGCGGAAGAAGUAUUGUUAAGGAACUCGGCAAAAUGACCCCGUAACUUCGGGAGAAGGGGUGCCCACGGGAGUGGGCCGCAGAGAAUAGGCUCAAGCAACUGUUUAGCAAAAACACAGGUCUAUGCGAAACCGAAAGGUGAAGUAUAUGGGCUGACGCCUGCCCGGUGCUGGAAGGUUAAGAGGAGAGGUUAGCGCAAGCGAAGCUUUGAAUUUAAGCCCCAGUAAACGGCGGCCGUAACUAUAACGGUCCUAAGGUAGCGAAAUUCCUUGUCGGGUAAGUUCCGACCCGCACGAAAGGCGUAAUGAUUUGAGCACUGUCUCGACAAUACAUCCGGUGAAAUUGAAGUACCAGUGAAGAUGCUGGUUACCCGCGCCAGGACGGAAAGACCCCAUGGAGCUUUACUCCAGUUUGGUACUGGGAUUCGGUACUGCACGUACAGGAUAGGUGGGAGACUAAGAAACUUGAACGCCAGUUUGAGUGGAGUCGCUGUUGGGAUACCACCCCUGCAGUAUUGGAUUUCUAACCAGUCACCGUGAUCCGGUGAUGGGACAAUGCCAGGCGGGGAGUUUGACUGGGGCGGUCGCCUCCGAAAGGGUAUCGGAGGCGCUCAAAGGUUCCCUCAGAAUGGUUGGAAACCAUUCGAAGAGUGCAAAGGCAGAAGGGAGCUUGACUGCGACACCGACGGGUGGAGCAGGUACGAAAGUAGGACUUAGUGAUCCGGUGGUAUAAAGUGGGAUUGCCAUCGCUCAACGGAUAAAAGCUACCCUGGGGAUAACAGGCUUAUCACUCCCAAGAGUUCACAUCGACGGAGUGGUUUGGCACCUCGAUGUCGGCUCAUCGCAUCCUGGGGCUGUAGUAGGUCCCAAGGGUUGGGCUGUUCGCCCAUUAAAGCGGUACGCGAGCUGGGUUCAGAACGUCGUGAGACAGUUCGGUCCCUAUCCGGCGCGGGCGGAGGAUAUUUGAGAGGAGCUGUCCUUAGUACGAGAGGACCGGGAUGGACGGACCACUGGUGUAUCUGUUGUCGACCAACGGCAUGGCAGAGUAGCCAAGUCUGGAAGGGAUAAACGCUGAAGGCAUCUAAGCGUGAAGCCCCCCUCAAGAUGAGAUAUCCCUCACAAAAGUGAGUAAGAUCCCUUGAAGACUACAAGGUAGAUAGGGCAGAGGUGGAAGUGUGGCAACACAUGGAGCUGACUGUUACUAAUCGAUCGAGGGCUUGACCAA
Molecule: ribosomal RNA, 2067 nt
Filed under: human gut metagenome
Description: bacterial LSU rRNA
Rfam family: Bacterial large subunit ribosomal RNA
Source: RNAcentral